CUACGGGGCGCUCCAGUCGAGAAUCUUCCGCAAUGGACGAAAGUCUGACGGAGCGACGCCGCGUGCGGGAUGAAGGCCUUCGGGUUGUAAACCGCUGUCAGUGGGGAGGAAAUGCAUCAGGGUUCUCCCUGGUGUUUGACCGAUCCGCAGAGGAAGCGCAGGCUAAGUUCGUGCCAGCAGCCGCGGUAACACGAACUGCGCGAACGUUAUUCGGAAUCACUGGGCUUAAAGAGUUCGUAGGCGGCCUUUCAAGUCGGGUGUGAAAUCCCUCGGCUCAGCCGAGGAAUUGCGCCUGAUACUGUUGGGCUUGAGGGGGAUAGGGGUGAGCGGAACUGAUGGUGGAGCGGUGAAAUGCGUUGAUAUCAUCAGGAACACCGGUGGCGAAGGCGGCUCACUGGAUCUCUUCUGACGCUGAGGAACGAAAGCUAGGGGAGCGAACGGGAUUAGAUACCCGGGUAGUC
Molecule: ribosomal RNA, 461 nt
Filed under: uncultured bacterium
Lineage: Bacteria
Description: partial 16S ribosomal RNA
Rfam family: Bacterial small subunit ribosomal RNA
Source: RNAcentral